UACGUAGGUGGCAAGCGUUGUCCGGAUUUACUGGGCGUAAAGAGCGCGCAGGCGGUCGUGCAAGUCGCGUGUGAAAGCCCCCGGCUCAACUGGGGAGGGUCACGCGAUACUGUUCGACUCGAAGGCAGGAGAGGGAAGUGGAAUUCCCGGUGUAGUGGUGAAAUGCGUAGAUAUCGGGAGGAACACCAGUGGCGAAGGCGACUUCCUGGCCUGUUCUUGACGCUGAGGCGCGAAAGCUAGGGGAGCGAACAGG
RNAcentral lists this ribosomal RNA (253 nucleotides) under uncultured bacterium. RNAcentral's name for it is "partial 16S ribosomal RNA". It matches the Rfam family "Bacterial small subunit ribosomal RNA", at positions 524 to 776 of the family's 1533-position model. The record is from RNAcentral.